RNAcentral lists this ribosomal RNA (460 nucleotides) under uncultured bacterium. Its description in RNAcentral is "partial 16S ribosomal RNA". It matches the Rfam family "Bacterial small subunit ribosomal RNA", at positions 338 to 795 of the family's 1533-position model. The record is from RNAcentral.
CCUACGGGAGGCAGCAGUGAGGAAUAUUGGUCAAUGGACGAGAGUCUGAACCAGCCAAGUAGCGUGAAGGAUGACUGCCCUAUGGGUUGUAAACUUCUUUUAUAAAGGAAUAAAACGAGGCACGUGUGCCUUUUUGCAUGUACUUUAUGAAUAAGGAUCGGCUAACUCCGUGCCAGCAGCCGCGGUAAUACGGAGGAUCCGAGCGUUAUCCGGAUUUAUUGGGUUUAAAGGGAGCGUAGAUGGGUUGUUAAGUCAGUGGUGAAAUUUUGCGGCUCAACCGUAAAAUUGCAAUUGAUACUGGCAGUCUUGAGUACAGUUGAGGUAGGCGGAAUUCGUGGUGUAGCGGUGAAAUGCUUAGAUAUCACGAAGAACCCCGAUGGCGAAGGCAGCUUACUAAACUGUGACUGACAUUGAUGCUCGAAAGUGUGGGUAUCAAACAGGAUUAGAUACCCCUGUAGUC